GCCAUCAAAGGCAACACUAAUUCAUAUUUUUGUUUAUAAAAAUAUUUUGUGUUAAAAAGGGUUAUUAAUAUAAAAAAUGUUUUCUAAUCAAUUGAAAUAAAUAUGUGAUAUUUUACAAUAAAUAAAUAAUGGUGUUAAGUUAAGUUAAAAUAAGUUAAAAACUUUAUUUAAAAGGGGGAACCUAUUUUUUGUUCCAUGUCAUUUUUGUUCCUAUGGGGGAUGUUAUAUGGGUUGCCACACCAGGGUGAGUCUCACAUGGUCCAGAAGGGAGAAGUCUGCGAGAGUUAAGCCAGUGAAAGAAUUUGAAGAGAAAUUAAGACGUUUUUCUUUUUGGAAGUUUUACCCUCUUGAGUUAAUGCGGCCAAUGAGUUCUGACGGCACUGUUGGGGCACUGUUGGGGCAUGGAAAGAACAUGUGAAGGCAUGUAGAAGAAUCUUUGUGUCCGAAUAAAUGUCUGUUAAAAACCAAGAACCGUUUGUGCCUUUCGUCGAGCUCAAGAGGAGUAACAUACCCAAACA
Long non-coding RNA from Oryzias melastigma (Indian medaka), 518 nucleotides. RefSeq lists it as uncharacterized. The transcript is spliced from 2 exons. NCBI's taxonomy places the organism in Eukaryota, Metazoa, Chordata, Actinopteri, Beloniformes, Adrianichthyidae. The record is from RefSeq and is a predicted model, not a curated record.